Tyto alba (common barn owl) is the source of this 769-nucleotide long non-coding RNA. RefSeq lists it as uncharacterized. The transcript has 2 exons. NCBI's taxonomy places the organism in Eukaryota, Metazoa, Chordata, Aves, Strigiformes, Tytonidae. The record is from RefSeq and is a predicted model, not a curated record.
GGAGAGGGGAGCACGGAGGGAACGGGGGCUUCCCCCCCCCCCCCGGCUGCGGCCAGCGGAGAGGGGCGGGAGGGGUUGUCAGAGCCCACGUAUCCCUCCGCCUCUGCCACACGCACGCACGUGACGGGGCCCCCUCCCCAGCUGCCCGCGGCGGGUGGGCGCCGCCGCCCCUCAGGGCGCUGCCCCGCCGCCCGCUCUUCCUCGCGGUGGGGUCGGCGGUGGCGCUCCCCUCAGGGCCGUGGGGCUCCCGCCGUGGGUGAGGAGAAAGGCGGGGGGGGGGGGCUCCCAGGCGCUGCCCCCGCCGCCCGGCCGCGGCCCUUGGUGGGUGGUGGAGGCCGGGAGCCGGCGGGCCCCGCGGUCUGCCCCGGCACCUGCCGUCGUGCCUGGUCGUGGUACGGAGCAGCUCUCUUUCUCGGCGUGGACCCGGCCACAGGGAGCAGAGGGACACGCAGCCUGUGGCAGGCACGGCCCCCGGCUCGGGGCAGCCCCGGGGGGCUCAGCCGGCGCUGGGGUCGGGCUUGCUGCCCACUGCCCACGGCUCACCCAGAGAUCGCAGACCCACAUGGGCUUUGCUACCUACUGCCGUGCCCAAAGCAUACUGCUGGAUUUCUUGGCUGACUCUCUGCCUGGACUUCACUCAAAGAGGAAAGGAACAUCCUGUUUUCAUCAUCCAAGAGGACCAGUGGGCAGAGACGUAAAUAGAUUGAUCAAUCCAGAUGCAACGCAAUGGUGAAAAUAGGGCAAUAAAGUUAAGACUACUGAAACGUGA